UCUCUCUCUCUCUUUCUUUCUUUCUUUCUUCUUGAAACGAACUACUUGAUUCAGAUUGUGAGAUUGUGUGGAGGGUUAGUAUUGUUUAAUAUGGAAAACCUUUUACAUCCCAAUUGCAUACCUCAGACUCAGAACACCAGUGUUUGUAGGAAGGGCUUUGAAAGGGCAAUUUGUCUAUCAACAAAACCAUAAAUACUGAUUUCUCUUUUGUUUCGAUCCUAGGUGGACAAAGAAAAGUAAAAGCUAUGCAAUGGGACCUGAAACAGGAGAGGGAGCCUAUCAGAGCAAAAGGGGAGGUAAUUAGCUGGGGAUAAUUGACAAAUUUCACACAUCUUGAAAUUUGACUUAGGGUGGGUUUUGUUUUCAAAAACAGCAAAAGCUUUUCAUACAGCUUGCAGAUAUCACCUGCAUCUGCGUCUGUAAAGUAAUAUUGUUCUCAGAAGUUUUGUCAGGUCAGAUAAUUUGAGUCUUCUUAUUUUUGUUGUUGAUCAGCCUACCUAAAGGAUUACCAAUUUUGUUGACUUUUCCAAAGAACCAAAAUUUGAUUUGGUUGGCUUAAUCUAUUGCAUGUCUAUUCUCUGUUUUCUUAAUCUUGGCUCUAAUCUUUAUUUUUUUCAUUUUCUUACUUAAUGUUUGCCUUGGAUUUUAUGUAUUUUUCCAGUAUCUUGAGGGGGAAGGUUAGAUUAUUGAUUAGAGGUUUUCUUUUUUAAUUAAGGUGUUUAUAGUUAUACAUUUUCCUUAAGCAUUUCUUUGUCUGCAUCCUGUGAGUUUUGGUAUGUUGUUUUGUUCAUUAUUUCUUUUUUUGCCCAGGUUCUUACCUAUAGUUCAGCUAUCUUUCUAUUUUCAUUCAUUUCAAGUAUUAUCUAAUUUUUUUUGGCAGUAGGGAAUAAUUUGUCUUACGGUUUAUUUUUGACCCCAUGUUGGGAGUGUACUGUUUAAUUUCUGCAUAUUUACAAAUUCCCAAAGCUGUAUUAUUGAUUUAUUUUUUUUUCUAUUGUGAUUCUGGUCUUGAAUAUCAGGAUGGGGUCCUUUUCCCCUUGAUACUGAAGAUUAAACAUUUGAGAAGUGCCAAGGCAAGAGUAGAAAGCAAAUUUUAUUUAAGAAUGGAAGACAGAAUGGGGAGGUGGGAGGGAGAGAGAGAGAACAGAGAGAGACUGGCUCCUGAGAGGAGCCUGGACCCAGAGGGGGUGACCGUGGGAAUGGUGGUGUCUUGCCCCUUCAUAGAUUUUAGGUUUCCUUUCUUCUCAUGACCCCUCCUCCUCUUAUCUUGCCUACAUGACCACAGGCAGGAAAAAAAGUAGC
This 1302-nucleotide long non-coding RNA is filed under the name Marmota monax (woodchuck). Lineage: Eukaryota; Metazoa; Chordata; Mammalia; Rodentia; Sciuridae. The record is from RNAcentral.